UGCAAGUCGAGGGGCAGCAAGAUACUUCGGUAUUGUUGGCGACCGGCGAAUGGGUGCGUAACGCGUAUGCAACCUGCCUUAUACAGGGGUAUAGCUCUCGGAAACGAGAAUUAAUCCCCCAUAUUAUCCAUUUAUCGCAUGAUAGUUGGAUGAAAGUUUUUCGGUAUAAGAUGGGCAUGCGUCCUAUUAGCUUGUUGGUAAGGUAACGGCUUACCAAGGCUACGAUAGGUAGGGGGUCUGAGAGGAUGUCCCCCCACACUGGUACUGAGACACGGACCAGACUCCUACGGGAGGCAGCAGUAAGGAAUAUUGGUCAAUGGACGAAAGUCUGAACCAGUUAUGCCGCGUGCAGGAUGAAGGCCAUAGGUCGUAAACUGCUUUUAUGCGGGAAAAAUAAGCUUCUGCGGAAGCUGAUGAUGUUACCGUAUGAAUAAGCACCGGCUAACUCCGUGCCAGCAGCCGCGGUAAUACGGAGGGUGCAAGUGUUAUCCGGAUUUACUGGGUUUAAAGUGUACGUAGGCGGUUUUGUAAGUCAGUGGUGAAAUGUAACAGCUCAACUGUUGAUCUGCCAUUGAUACUGCAAGACUUGAGUAUAGUCGAGGUGGGUGGAAUUCUACAUGUAGCGGUGAAAUGCUUUGAUAUGUAGAGGAACUCCAAUAACGAAGGUAACUCACUAGGCUACUACUGACGCUGAGGUACGAAAGCGUGGGGAGCAAACAGGAUUAGAUACCCUGGUAGUCCACGCUGUAAACGAUGGUCACUCGAUAUUCGUCCCUUCGGGGGUGAGUGUCUAAGCGAAAGCGUUAAGUGACCCACCUGGGGAGUACGUUCGCAAGAAUGAAACUUAAAGGAAUUGACGGGGAUCCGCACAAGCGGUGGAGCAUGUGGUUUAAUUUGAUACUACGCAAGGAACCUUACCUAGGCUCGAAUGCUUUUUGACGCAUUGAGAAAUCAAUGUUUCCGCAAGGACAAAUAGCAAGGUGCUGCAUGGCCGUCGUCAGCUCGUGCCGUGAGGUGUUUGGUUAAGUCCUAUAACGAGCGCAACCCCUAUGCUUAGUUGCCAGCACGUAAUGGUGGGAACUUUAAGCAGACUGCCUGCGAAAGCAGUGAGGAAGGAAGGGAUGAAGUCAGGUCAUCAUGGCCCUUACGCCUAGGGCUACACACGUGCUACAAUGGCGUGUACAAUGGGUCGCUACUUGGUAACAAGAUGCUAAUCUCCAAAACACGUCUCAGUUCGGAUUGAGGUCUGCAACUCGACCUCAUGAAGCUGGAAUCGCUAGUAAUCGCAUAUCAGCAAUGGUGCGGUGAAUACGUUCUCGGAUCUUGUACACACUGCCCGUCAAAUCACGGAAGUCGGUAGAACUUAAAGACGGUGACCGUUAAAGGAGC
This 1389-nucleotide ribosomal RNA is filed under the name uncultured bacterium. RNAcentral describes it as "bacterial SSU rRNA". It matches the Rfam family "Bacterial small subunit ribosomal RNA". The record is from RNAcentral.